Long non-coding RNA from Nomascus leucogenys (northern white-cheeked gibbon), 1555 nucleotides. RefSeq lists it as uncharacterized. Lineage: Eukaryota; Metazoa; Chordata; Mammalia; Primates; Hylobatidae. The transcript has 3 exons. The record is from RefSeq and is a predicted model, not a curated record.
GCAGUUCUCGUGGGAGGAGCGGGGCGGCGCGCGCCUGGCCAGGCAGGCUGGAAACGGUAGCUCUUAACGGUUCCCCGCCCGUUGGUGACAAGGCGGCUGGACUAGAAUCCCAGCAGGCGACAUGCGAGGAGGCGGGCAGCCCAAGAGGAUUGGGCAGGGCAGUGUGGACCUCGACGCUUCCACAGCGAUUCUGGCUACUGAUCGCGGGCACCUCCUUGCCAGGGGAUAGAAAUUAAUAUUAUGAUUGGAUAAGACAAUUGUGAAGAAACUGCACUUCGAGGUUGUCUAUCUCCGUAUUCUGAUGGAAAAGCGUGGAAUUUAGAAGCAUUGCUCGCUCCUUCAGUUUCUAACAAGCCAGUUCUUGGAGAUACUAGGAUGCCAAGAGUUUCCUCCAAGAAUGGAGAUUCCUUGGAAGUGAGGUUCACCUUGAGUCAAGAAAGACGAAUCACACAUGAUAUUUGCCCAGGGUCUCAAGAACAGAGCCAGAAAGAAGAGCUGGGGCCGGCGGGACUGUGGGGGUCCUCUCUCCCACCUGAAAAGCUACUGCUGCCUGCCGAUCCUCUCAAGAGGAGACCUCUCUGGGCUCCAGCACCUAAAACAGACAAACCUGGGAGGAUGCUUCUCUCUUCUAUGUCACACGUGUCCUGGAGAAAACCCGUGUAUCUGAAUGACCAAAGAAAACUAUAAGAAAAAGUGCAAAAUCUGUGCCAGGCCAUUCAGUGUCUGGCUGGGGCUCUGGGGUGCACAUGCAUUCCAAGAAGACUGAAGGGUGCCAAGCCUGCAGGAAAUGUCCAUCAGACCUGCCUCUCACACCUGGAGUAGGACUGCCCAUCCAACUUCAUGAUGCAGAACUGUCUUUAAAAGGUGACUGCAGAUAUGGAGAGAGGGAUUUCUAACCCUGAUAGAACACGACCAGCUGUCCUGCUGGGGAAAGCUGCAUCCACCAGUGACAUGCUGCUCAAACUGGCCCAGGACACACUCUACUACCUAAGGAAUAAGCCCCGCAUUUGCUAUUUGUGGGUGAAAGGAGAGGGUGAGAGAGGAGGGGAGUGUCCGCACAGACAUGAGAAGCCUGCAGAUCCAGAUGACCCCUUGCUGAUCAGAAUAAGAAAGAUCGACUUGUGAAAACAGUGACCCCGUAGCAGAUGAGCUUCUAAAGCAGGCUUCAACCAUGCGUCAUCUGGACCCACUGGUGGAGAAUUCUGCCCCCACUCUAUGUUGAUGGUCUGGGGGAUACCAUUACUGAGACAGAUCUAAGAAAUAAUCUCUACCUGUUGGCGAAAUCUGGAUGGUCACUUGUAUGAGACAGCAGUGUGCUCUCAUCAGCUUUCCACAGGGCAGGCUGCGGAAAUGGUGCUGAGAAGUACUAUUGUAAAUUGAUUGUCCAUGGCUGCAGACUUACCAUCAAAUGGAAGAAGAUUCCAAGCUCUCAAAAGGAAAAAGAGAAGGAUGGAACCACAGACUCUGGGACCCUGCCAGAGCCUAUUUCAGUGCUGCCAGGAGCUCCUCCUCCCCCUGCAGCUCUGGUCCCCACCUUGGAGCCUCCUUCCAAGGA